AGCGUACACGGUGGAUGCCCUGGCAGUCAGAGGCGAUGAAGGACGUGCUAAUCUGCGAUAAGCGUCGGUAAGGUGAUAUGAACCGUUAUAACCGGCGAUUUCCGAAUGGGGAAACCCAGUGUGAUUCGUCACACUAUCAUUAACUGAAUCCAUAGGUUAAUGAGGCGAACCGGGGGAACUGAAACAUCUAAGUACCCCGAGGAAAAGAAAUCAACCGAGAUUCCCCCAGUAGCGGCGAGCGAACGGGGAGCAGCCCAGAGCCUGAAUCAGUGUGUGUGUUAGUGGAAGCGUCUGGAAAGGCGCGCGAUACAGGGUGACAGCCCCGUACACAAAAAUGCACAUGCUGUGAGCUCGAUGAGUAGGGCGGGACACGUGGUAUCCUGUCUGAAUAUGGGGGGACCAUCCUCCAAGGCUAAAUACUCCUGACUGACCGAUAGUGAACCAGUACCGUGAGGGAAAGGCGAAAAGAACCCCGGCGAGGGGAGUGAAAAAGAACCUGAAACCGUGUACGUACAAGCAGUGGGAGCCUCUUAAUGGGGUGACUGCGUACCUUUUGUAUAAUGGGUCAGCGACUUAUAUUCUGUAGCAAGGUUAACCGAAUAGGGGAGCCGAAGGGAAACCGAGUCUUAACUGGGCGUUAAGUUGCAGGGUAUAGACCCGAAACCCGGUGAUCUAGCCAUGGGCAGGUUGAAGGUUGGGUAACACUAACUGGAGGACCGAACCGACUAAUGUUGAAAAAUUAGCGGAUGACUUGUGGCUGGGGGUGAAAGGCCAAUCAAACCGGGAGAUAGCUGGUUCUCCCCGAAAGCUAUUUAGGUAGCGCCUCGUGAAUUCAUCUCCGGGGGUAGAGCACUGUUUCGGCAAGGGGGUCAUCCCGACUUACCAACCCGAUGCAAACUGCGAAUACCGGAGAAUGUUAUCACGGGAGACACACGGCGGGUGCUAACGUCCGUCGUGAAGAGGGAAACAACCCAGACCGCCAGCUAAGGUCCCAAAGUCAUGGUUAAGUGGGAAACGAUGUGGGAAGGCCCAGACAGCCAGGAUGUUGGCUUAGAAGCAGCCAUCAUUUAAAGAAAGCGUAAUAGCUCACUGGUCGAGUCGGCCUGCGCGGAAGAUGUAACGGGGCUAAACCAUGCACCGAAGCUGCGGCAGCGACACUAUGUGUUGUUGGGUAGGGGAGCGUUCUGUAAGCCUGCGAAGGUGUACUGUGAGGUAUGCUGGAGGUAUCAGAAGUGCGAAUGCUGACAUAAGUAACGAUAAAGCGGGUGAAAAGCCCGCUCGCCGGAAGACCAAGGGUUCCUGUCCAACGUUAAUCGGGGCAGGGUGAGUCGACCCCUAAGGCGAGGCCGAAAGGCGUAGUCGAUGGGAAACAGGUUAAUAUUCCUGUACUUGGUGUUACUGCGAAGGGGGGACGGAGAAGGCUAUGUUGGCCGGGCGACGGUUGUCCCGGUUUAAGCGUGUAGGCUGGUUUUCCAGGCAAAUCCGGAAAAUCAAGGCUGAGGCGUGAUGACGAGGCACUACGGUGCUGAAGCAACAAAUGCCCUGCUUCCAGGAAAAGCCUCUAAGCAUCAGGUAACAUCAAAUCGUACCCCAAACCGACACAGGUGGUCAGGUAGAGAAUACCAAGGCGCUUGAGAGAACUCGGGUGAAGGAACUAGGCAAAAUGGUGCCGUAACUUCGGGAGAAGGCACGCUGAUACGUAGGUGAAGUCCCUUGCGGAUGGAGCUGAAAUCAGUCGAAGAUACCAGCUGGCUGCAACUGUUUAUUAAAAACACAGCACUGUGCAAACACGAAAGUGGACGUAUACGGUGUGACGCCUGCCCGGUGCCGGAAGGUUAAUUGAUGGGGUUAGCGGUAACGCGAAGCUCUUGAUCGAAGCCCCGGUAAACGGCGGCCGUAACUAUAACGGUCCUAAGGUAGCGAAAUUCCUUGUCGGGUAAGUUCCGACCUGCACGAAUGGCGUAAUGAUGGCCAGGCUGUCUCCACCCGAGACUCAGUGAAAUUGAACUCGCUGUGAAGAUGCAGUGUACCCGCGGCAAGACGGAAAGACCCCGUGAACCUUUACUAUAGCUUGACACUGAACAUUGAGCCUUGAUGUGUAGGAUAGGUGGGAGGCUUUGAAGUGUGGACGCCAGUCUGCAUGGAGCCGACCUUGAAAUACCACCCUUUAAUGUUUGAUGUUCUAACGUUGGCCCCUGAUCGGGGUUGCGGACAGUGUCUGGUGGGUAGUUUGACUGGGGCGGUCUCCUCCUAAAGAGUAACGGAGGAGCACGAAGGUUGGCUAAUCCUGGUCGGACAUCAGGAGGUUAGUGCAAUGGCAUAAGCCAGCUUGACUGCGAGCGUGACGGCGCGAGCAGGUGCGAAAGCAGGUCAUAGUGAUCCGGUGGUUCUGAAUGGAAGGGCCAUCGCUCAACGGAUAAAAGGUACUCCGGGGAUAACAGGCUGAUACCGCCCAAGAGUUCAUAUCGACGGCGGUGUUUGGCACCUCGAUGUCGGCUCAUCACAUCCUGGGGCUGAAGUAGGUCCCAAGGGUAUGGCUGUUCGCCAUUUAAAGUGGUACGCGAGCUGGGUUUAGAACGUCGUGAGACAGUUCGGUCCCUAUCUGCCGUGGGCGCUGGAGAACUGAGGGGGGCUGCUCCUAGUACGAGAGGACCGGAGUGGACGCAUCACUGGUGUUCGGGUUGUCAUGCCAAUGGCACUGCCCGGUAGCUAAAUGCGGAAGAGAUAAGUGCUGAAAGCAUCUAAGCACGAAACUUGCCCCGAGAUGAGUUCU
Molecule: ribosomal RNA, 2773 nt
Filed under: gut metagenome
Description: bacterial LSU rRNA
Rfam family: Bacterial large subunit ribosomal RNA
Source: RNAcentral